RNAcentral lists this ribosomal RNA (253 nucleotides) under uncultured bacterium. RNAcentral describes it as "partial 16S ribosomal RNA". It matches the Rfam family "Bacterial small subunit ribosomal RNA", at positions 524 to 776 of the family's 1533-position model. The record is from RNAcentral.
UACGUAGGGGGCAAGCGUUGUCCGGAUUUAUUGGGCGUAAAGAGCGUGUAGGCGGCCAUGUAGGUCCGUUGUGAAAACUCGAGGCUCAACCUCGAGACGCCGAUGGAAACCAUGUGGCUAGAGUCCGGAAGAGGAGAGUGGAAUUCCUGGUGUAGCGGUGAAAUGCGCAGAUAUCAGGAAGAACACCCGUGGCUAAGGCGGCUCUCUAGUACGGUACUGACGCUGAGACGCGAAAGAGUGGGGAGCGAACAGG